Molecule: long non-coding RNA, 509 nt
Organism: Amblyraja radiata (thorny skate)
Lineage: Eukaryota; Metazoa; Chordata; Chondrichthyes; Rajiformes; Rajidae
Exons: 3
Source: RefSeq, a predicted model, not a curated record
ACCAAUUGGUCCCUGUUUCAAUCUGUACUUUGGCAAGUUUAUUUUUCAAUGAUUGAUUGGCUCGUUCAACGAGUCCAGCAGCCUAUGGCCGAUAGGCACAAUGUCAUUACUGUUGGAUGCCCAUCUGAACACAGAAUUCUUUGGUCACCUUUCCCACAAAAUGAGGGCCAUUAUCCAAAUUCAGCCCAGUUGGGAUUCCAUACCUGGAUAUAAUUUCUUUCAUAAGUACUUUAACAACCGUAGAAUCUUUGUUGUCCACGGUAGGAUAAGCUUCAAUCCAUUUACUAAAGACAUCUACAAUAACCAAUACAUAUUUAUAACACUGACAUCUUUCCAAAUCAAUGUAGUCCAUCUGGAGGAUCUCAAAGGGACCCAUGGGUAAGGAGGUUCUCCCUUGUUCGCAGGUUAUACCCUUCUCGUGGUUAUAUUGCUGACAGGUCAGACAACGACUACUAAUCCCCUGAGCCAGAGUCUGCAACUUUGGAUGCCACCAUGUUGCAUGGGGGCCA